UCUAAUCCUAAAAGGGUAAUAUUCUCAUAGAAACCUAUAUCCCUUGACGGCCUCUAUUCUAAUCAAAGGAACUUGUUAUUUAAUCGAAACUACACGCUUAAUCUCUCUUACUUUAAGUUUUUAUACCGUCGUCUAAAGGAUACACUAAUUUGUGAAUCCUAAACUGGAAAACCACCUAAGUCAGAUCAAGGUGAAGCCUAUAAGUAAGCCCAUAAUGAGUUAUUCAUGAACAUAAUUUAAGAAACACUUUUCAAAAAUUCUGUGAAUUAAGAUUUGAUUGUACCCACCAGAAUAAAAUUCUGGGCGGUAUAAGUGAAAAGAGGUGU
RNAcentral lists this ribosomal RNA (326 nucleotides) under Proshermacha sp. MYG471. Its description in RNAcentral is "partial 12S ribosomal RNA". The record is from RNAcentral. Lineage: Eukaryota; Metazoa; Arthropoda; Arachnida; Araneae; Anamidae.